RNAcentral lists this small nucleolar RNA (66 nucleotides) under Leptobrachium leishanense (Leishan spiny toad). RNAcentral describes it as "Small nucleolar RNA SNORD42 (ENSLLEG00000014909.1)". It matches the Rfam family "Small nucleolar RNA SNORD42". From Rfam's summary of the family: snoRNA U42 is found in intron 3 of the ribosomal protein L23a (RPL23a) gene in humans and is also present in mice. Lineage: Eukaryota; Metazoa; Chordata; Amphibia; Anura; Megophryidae. The record is from Rfam by way of RNAcentral.
GUGAAAAUGAUGUAAAUUUUAUGUUGUCUGAAUACAUUGAUGUGUUCAAAGGAACCACUGAUUCAC